This is a long non-coding RNA of Acanthochromis polyacanthus (spiny chromis), 1952 nucleotides long. RefSeq lists it as uncharacterized. Lineage: Eukaryota; Metazoa; Chordata; Actinopteri; Pomacentridae. The record is from RefSeq and is a predicted model, not a curated record. The transcript is spliced from 3 exons.
AGGCCAUUUUUGGCAUAGACUCUUUUUUUCUAAGUAAAAAACAUGAACAAAGUCUUUGAUAAGUCUUUGGUAUACAACAAAAACAAAAUCAUUAACUUUGCUGUUCCAAUACUUUAGGAGGGGACUGUAUCUUAAUGAUUUUGUUGUCUUAUUGAUAUUGUUACAGGUUUGAGAAACAGGUGAAGAUGAGCAGAGAAAUUGAAGAUGAAAAUCGAACAUUGAGGGAGCUGAAUAUAAAGUUGCAGCAGAAGCUUUUUGCUGAGACCAAACACCCGGUCAUUGGUAAAGUCAUUUAAGGAAAUGGCUUUUUUUUCCCCAUUAUGCCAGUGUAGUUCACAGCCUUUCAAUAGACCUUAUGCGCUAACUGUGUUGCCAUGGGAACGCUUUAAAUUUAACUGGGUGGUUUACUUCCUGUUGCAGCCAUUUAAAUAGGACAGGAAGUCAAAUCCAUCCAUCCAUUUUCUUCCGCUUUUAUCCGUUUCCGGAUUGCGGGGGUAGAGAUCUUUCUACCCAAUUCUCAUUGCACCAUAUUUUCACCUCUGUGGGUGGUGAGUCCACAAGGGGGCGGGGCUUCCUAGUUUCACCAGAGGUCUCCCAUCCGCCUACUGACCAGGCCCUACGCUGCUUAGUGUGAUUGUGAUGCAGACUAAAUUUGGAAUACAUAACUGGUUUUAUAAUUUUAUUUUGAUGGAGACAGGAAAUAGAUGAGAUCCUGAAAAGCUUGAUUUUAAAAGAUGCACAUUCCGUGCAUAGAGGUUAUGCGAAUGAUGUCAUAACCAUAGCAACAGCUGGCAGUUGGCAUUUUAUCUCAGAAUUCCGUGGUAUUUUUCAAAAAUCUCCAUUCAAUUUUCCUAUGCCACUCCUUUUUGCCACUCCUUUUUUGUUUAUUUUUAAGCAUUCGCAUACCCUCUAUAGUCCAUAGCUGUAAAAGUAAUAGACACUGCCAACAUUUUCUUUAUACCAAAUUUACCUAUGAGGGAAUUAAAUAUGGCACUUUAAUUCCUUGCAGUUGACUCAGUGAGACACUUGGAGGAAGAAGGCGACAAAGUGACCCAAAACUGCCAGGAUGACCAGAUUCAUUUGGGCGGAGAUGUAUUUCUAAAGUCGGAUGCUUGGUCCAAAAUACAGUCAAACCAGAGAGACUCCCGGUUUGUCAAAGAAUUGGCGGUGGCAGUAUGGGGCACCAAAAUCUUGGCUGAAAGAAGCCUAACAGGCAAGGUCUGCCCAACAACAAAGACCACAAAGCCUCCUUUGUCACCAGCGAAGCUCCAGAUUUUAAAAGGCUGCUUCAGGGAUUGGCUGAAGGCCAAGAAGCUGGAGGACGCAGAGCUGCAGUCCAGAUUUGGGAAAGUCGGACGCUAUAUAACUGAAAAAAUCAUGGAUAUAAAUCGUUUGAAGAAGAGUGAAUGAAUGAAUGAAUUGUGUUGUGCAUGUAUUUCAACUUUUUGAAUGUUUAAAUUAAUUUUUCAAUGUUCACUUGUUUGUCUUAUACAUUGAUAUCAUUUUCCAAAAUUUAAAAUAUUUGUCAUAAUUGUUAAUUAAUAAUUGUUCCACUAUUUUUUUGUUUAUAUUAAAGCCUGUCGAACUAAUUUAACUUGAUUCUUCUUUUAGAAUAUAGAAAAUUGUUCCCUUGAAUUUUUUUUUUCUCCACAUUUUGAUCUUGGUCUAUUGCCGAUUUUAACAUCAUCUGUAUCACAGGAUGGAUGCAGGCAUUGAUGCUGAUUUCAUGCUGGUCCAGCAAGACCAGCACCAAAACACAACUUAUGCUGGUCCAGCAAGACCAGCACCAAAACACAACUUAUGCUGGUCCAGCAAUAUGCUGGUCCAGCAAGACCAGCACCAAAACACAACUUAUGCUGGUCCAGCAAUAUGCUGGUCCAGCAAGACCAGCACCAAAACACAACCUAUGCUGGUCCAGCAAUACCAGCACCAAAACACAACUUAUGCUGGUC